Podarcis lilfordi (Lilford's wall lizard) is the source of this 69-nucleotide non-coding RNA. The record is from the annotation of a GenBank genome assembly. NCBI's taxonomy places the organism in Eukaryota, Metazoa, Chordata, Lepidosauria, Squamata, Lacertidae.
GAUAGCUCAGCUGGUUAGAGCUUGGUGCUGGUAAUGCCAAGGUCGUGGGCUCGAUCCCUGCACGUUGCG